UGGCACGGUACGAUUCCGUGGAGUGGUUUUCCGCUUAACGCUUAGUCCUUGUAUUAGUGAAGGUAAGUGAGGGGGCACCCAAAAUUCUGAAAGCUUUACAAUGCGUUGGGUACUACGAAAGUGUCCAAG
The submitters of this non-coding RNA (129 nucleotides) gave its source as unclassified sequences. The record is from Rfam.